GGCCCUACGGGGCGCAGCAGUCGCGAAAACUCUGCAAUACACGAAAGUGUGACAGGGCUAUCCCGAGUGCCAUCCGAUGAGGAAGGCUUUUACCCAGUCUAGAACGCUGGGGGAAUAAGGAGAGGGCAAGUCUGGUGUCAGCCGCCGCGGUAAUACCAGCUCUCCGAGUAGUGUGGAUGUUUAUUGGGCCUAAAGCAUCCGUAGCUGGCUAAGUUAGUCCCCUGUUAAAUCCAACGAAUUAAUCGUUGGAUCGCGGGGGAUACUGCUUGGCUAGGGGACGAGAGAGGCAGACGGUAUUUCCGGGGUAGGGGUGAAAUCCUAUAAUCCCGGGAAGACCACCAGUGGCGAAGGCUGUCUGCUAGAACGCGCCCGACGGUGAGGGAUGAAAGCUGGGGGAGCGAACCGGAUUAGAUACCCGGGUAGUCCCAGCUGUAAACGAUGCAGGCUAGGUGUUUGGACGGCCACGUGCCGUUCUAGUGCCGCAGGGAAGCUGUUAAGCCUGCCGCCUGGGGAGUACGAUCGCAAGAUUGAAACUUAAAGGAAUUGGCGGGGGAGCACCACAAGGGGUGAAGCUUGCGGUUUAAUUGGAGUCAACGCCGGAAAACUCAC
This 609-nucleotide ribosomal RNA is filed under the name uncultured archaeon. RNAcentral describes it as "bacterial SSU rRNA". It matches the Rfam family "Archaeal small subunit ribosomal RNA", at positions 319 to 930 of the family's 1478-position model. The record is from RNAcentral.